CCACAGAUCGCAUGUGAUUGUGGGAAAGAUUCUAUCGGCGUGGGAUGGGGUCGCGUCCUAUCAGCUUGUUGGUGAGGUAACGGCUCACCAAGGCUUCGACGGGUAGCCGGCCUGAGAGGGCGACCGGCCACAUUGGGACUGAGAUACGGCCCAGACUCCUACGGGAGGCAGCAGUGGGGAAUAUUGCACAAUGGGCGCAAGCCUGAUGCAGCGACGCCGCGUGAGGGAUGGAGGCCUUCGGGUUGUAAACCUCUUUUGUUUGGGAGCAAGCCUUCGGGUGAGUGUACCUUUCGAAUAAGCGCCGGCUAACUACGUGCCAGCAGCCGCGGUAAUACGUAGGGCGCAAGCGUUAUCCGGAUUUAUUGGGCGUAAAGGGCUCGUAGGCGGCUCGUCGCGUCCGGUGUGAAAGUCCAUCGCUUAACG
This 423-nucleotide ribosomal RNA is filed under the name uncultured Bifidobacterium sp. RNAcentral's name for it is "bacterial SSU rRNA". It matches the Rfam family "Bacterial small subunit ribosomal RNA", at positions 173 to 614 of the family's 1533-position model. The record is from RNAcentral. Lineage: Bacteria; Bacillati; Actinomycetota; Actinomycetes; Bifidobacteriales; Bifidobacteriaceae.